GUGCUAAUCCUCCUGAGAGAAGGUUAGCAUUCUCUUUGAUAAGGAUGGAAGAGGUCCUAGUGACUUUUACAACACAUAUAUGCUUAAGGCACUGCCACCUACUCUGUGGCAUCUCACCAUGAAAGUCU
Molecule: non-coding RNA, 128 nt
Filed under: Vombatus ursinus (common wombat)
Lineage: Eukaryota; Metazoa; Chordata; Mammalia; Diprotodontia; Vombatidae
Source: RNAcentral